RNAcentral lists this long non-coding RNA (674 nucleotides) under Phoenix dactylifera (date palm). Its description in RNAcentral is "long non-coding RNA (PDAC_LNC001184)". Lineage: Eukaryota; Viridiplantae; Streptophyta; Magnoliopsida; Arecales; Arecaceae. The record is from RNAcentral.
GAUGUGGGGUCGGAACCUCGACACCAGCCCGCACACCGGCCGAGCAGGGAAAGCAUCUGCGUCCCUCCCGAGGUAUUGUCCGCUCUGGGAUUGCCGCUUCGAGUCUGCGGGAGGUCGCCCAGGGAGGUCGCCCAGGGCCGGAGCCCAAUGACAGUCCCAAUGACAGUCCCGAGCCCUGACGGCGCGGGGGUCCGCGGAGGUUGCCCCCUACCCUCACGGUUUUGUCCUACAAAAGGGCCCUCGGUGAGAAGAGGUGUUUGCACCCCCCAUUUAAGGCACAGACCUUUCCGCUGAUUACCCGAUGUGGGACUAAACUGGGAACCCCAUCCCACAACNNNNNNNNNNNNNNNNNNNNACCGGGGCCCUUCCUCUAGCGCCAUCUGAUGUGGGGUCGGAACCCCGACACCAGCCCGCACACCGGCCGAGCAGGGAAAGCAUCUGCGUCCCUCCCGAGGUAUUGUCCGCUCUGGGAUUGCCGCUUCGAGUCUGCGGGAGGUCGCCCAGGGCCGGAGCCCAAUGACAGUCCCGAGCCCUGACGGCGCGGGGGUCCGCGGAGGUUGCCCCCUACCCUCACGGUUUUGUCCUAUAAAAGGGCCCUCGGUGAGAAGAGGUGUUUGCACCCCCCAUUUAAGGCACAGACCUUUCCGCUGAUUACCCGAUGUGGGACUAAACUG